CAGAUUGUGACGUAAUGGUAUCGUGUCUGCAUUGGGUGUAGAAUGCUGAGGGUUCGAGUCCUUCCAAUCUGA
This 72-nucleotide transfer RNA is filed under the name Lodderomyces elongisporus. RNAcentral describes it as "tRNA-Pro". It matches the Rfam family "tRNA". From Rfam's summary of the family: Transfer RNA (tRNA) molecules are approximately 80 nucleotides in length. Their secondary structure includes four short double-helical elements and three loops (D, anti-codon, and T loops). Further hydrogen bonds mediate the characteristic L-shaped molecular structure. tRNAs have two regions of fundamental functional importance: the anti-codon, which is responsible for specific mRNA codon recognition, and the 3' end, to which the tRNAs corresponding amino acid is attached (by aminoacyl-tRNA synthetases). tRNAs cope with the degeneracy of the genetic code in two manners: having more than one tRNA (with a specific anti-codon) for a particular amino acid; and 'wobble' base-pairing, i.e. permitting non-standard base-pairing at the 3rd anti-codon position. Lineage: Eukaryota; Fungi; Ascomycota; Pichiomycetes; Serinales; Debaryomycetaceae. The record is from RNAcentral. RNAcentral also lists the same sequence under 1 other name.